RNAcentral lists this ribosomal RNA (500 nucleotides) under uncultured bacterium. Its description in RNAcentral is "partial 16S ribosomal RNA". It matches the Rfam family "Bacterial small subunit ribosomal RNA", at positions 30 to 523 of the family's 1533-position model. The record is from RNAcentral.
AUUGAACGCUGGCGGCAGGCUUAACACAUGCAAGUCGAGCGGGGGAAGGUAGCUUGCUACCGGACCUAGCGGCGGACGGGUGAGUAAUGCUUAGGAAUCUGCCUAUUAGUGGGGGACAACAUUCCGAAAGGAAUGCUAAUACCGCAUACGUCCUACGGGAGAAAGCAGGGGAUCUUCGGACCUUGCGCUAAUAGAUGAGCCUAAGUCGGAUUAGCUAGUUGGUGGGGUAAAGGCCUACCAAGGCGACGAUCUGUAGCGGGUCUGAGAGGAUGAUCCGCCACACUGGGACUGAGACACGGCCCAGACUCCUACGGGAGGCAGCAGUGGGGAAUAUUGGACAAUGGGGGGAACCCUGAUCCAGCCAUGCCGCGUGUGUGAAGAAGGCCUUAUGGUUGUAAAGCACUUUAAGCGAGGAGGAGGCUACUGAGACUAUACUCUUGGAUAGUGGACGUUAUUCGCAGAAUAAGCACCGGCUAACUCUGUGCCAGCCGCCGCCGUAA